Molecule: long non-coding RNA, 384 nt
Filed under: Helianthus annuus (common sunflower)
Lineage: Eukaryota; Viridiplantae; Streptophyta; Magnoliopsida; Asterales; Asteraceae
Description: hypothetical non coding rna
Source: RNAcentral
AUCUGAUCUAAAGCUCUAAGUUGAGGCCUUUGCUUUAUACCUGAGCUCCUGGAUCAAGAUUAGCUUUCGGGGACCCUUAGUCCGCUAUAUUAAUAUAGCUACCUAUUAGGUGCCGUUUGAUAUUCUGUGAUCUCUGGCAUUGUGUAAUUAUUACACAAGGACUUCUAAGCAAUCUCAGCGUGCUAGCACAUUGAUUUACAUGACUUUCAUGCUAUGUAUGCCCAUUGUGAUAUGAUGCAUAGGACUUAUCAAGACAUACUUAGGCGGACCUGUGCUUUAGUGACUUAAAACGAGACAAGAAUUAGUUAAUUUAUGUUAUGUACUCUUUGGUUCUUGAUUAAAGCAAUGUAAACUUUCAUGUUUGAUUAAUAAAACGAAACUUCA